Molecule: small RNA, 408 nt
Filed under: Pongo abelii (Sumatran orangutan)
Lineage: Eukaryota; Metazoa; Chordata; Mammalia; Primates; Hominidae
Description: processed transcript
Source: RNAcentral
CUGUCCUCCCCCCGCCACUGGAAGUCUUCCCGUCUCUAAAUGGAAUUAGUGGAGCCCGGAGCCUCUGGUGUAACGCACAGACAUGAUCCAUGGGCGCAGCGUGCUUCACAUUGUAGCAAGUUUAAUCAUCCUCCAUUUGUCUGGGGCAACCAAGAAAGGAACAGAAAAGCAAACCACCUCAGAAACACAGAAGUCAGUGCAGUGUGGAACUUGGACAAAACAUGCAGAGGGAGGUAUCUUUACCUCUCCCAACUAUCCCAGCAAGUAUCCCCCUGACCGGGAAUGCAUCUACAUCAUAGAAGAUUUACUUACGAUUCUUGGACUAUGAGAUGCAGAAUUCAAAUGAAUGCAAGAGGAAUUUUGUGGCUGUGUAUGAUGGAAGCAGUUCCGUGGAGGAUUUGAAAGCUA